This 407-nucleotide ribosomal RNA is filed under the name bacterium enrichment culture clone ALO1_GLFRUDD03F1JP4. Its description in RNAcentral is "bacterial SSU rRNA". It matches the Rfam family "Bacterial small subunit ribosomal RNA", at positions 9 to 416 of the family's 1533-position model. The record is from RNAcentral.
GAGUUUGAUCGUGGCUCAGAUUGAACGCUGGCGGCAUGCCUUACACAUGCAAGUCGAACGGCAGCACGGGAGCUUGCUCCUGGUGGCGAGUGGCGAACGGGUGAGUGAUGCAUCGGAACGUAUCCUGGAGUGGGGGAUAACGUAGCGAAAGUUACGCUAAUACCGCAUAUUCUGUGAGCAGGAAAGCGGGGGACCUUCGGGCCUCGCGCUCUUGGAGCGGCCGAUGUCGGAUUAGCUAGUUGGUGAGGUAAAGGCUCACCAAGGCGACGAUCCGUAGCAGGUCUGAGAGGAUGAUCUGCCACACUGGAACUGAGACACGGUCCAGACUCCUACGGGAGGCAGCAGUGGGGAAUUUUGGACAAUGGGGGCAACCCUGAUCCAGCCAUGCCGCGUGAGUGAAGAAGGCC